CCUUCCUCCCUCCCCUCCCCUCUGGCAAGAUCCAGCGUGCGUCCUCCCUCUCCUCGAUCUAGAUCGGGGCACCUCGUCGCCCCGCCUUCGUCUCCCUCUGUCUCCCACCUGAUGGAGCCCGCGGUGGGGGGAAGCGAGGGGCCAAACACCCGCUUCCAACACACAAGGUCUCGGCUUCCCCUCCCAUCGCCGCACCACUCGUCCGCUAGCUCCCCACGCAGGCGGAUUUGGAUCGAGGCGGCCGUCAUCGGCGGCGGCAGCGGGCUGGGUACCAUGAGCGCUGUGCUCGCCAUCUGACACCAUCCUCCAGUGGUGGGGAUUCAACAUCGCCGUCAUCAACAAGCGGGUAUUCUAGAUCUUGCCACACUGGGCAUCAGGACCGCUGGAUGCUUCUCUCACGGUGGUCAAGCCAAGCUCUCCUACGGUGGUUAGAACGGGCGUCGUCAACCCUGCCGCCCCCUCUUCCGCCGGGUCCCCCAAGAGGUCGUGCAUCCUGCCGCGACCACCUCUACUACGUGACGGUGGUGGCCGACCUGCAAUGCGACCGCUGCAUCGCCAGUAACCUCUUCGGUGAGCACUUUACCUCUGCCUCCCUCCUCUGCCUAGAUCCCGUGACUGAGCCACACUCUGUAGCAUGUAGAUUACUGCUUGUAUGGCCAUGAGGAAUGAAAUAAUUUUGCAGCUAAUAAUUCUAGUUUCUUGUUGGAGGAAUUGCUGCACCACUAGUUGUUUCUAUUGUGUGCUGGACAGUCGAUGUGGAUAGCCUGCAUGCUAUUUCUUAGGACAUUAAGCUACGGAAGGAUAAACUGACAUAAGUAAGCUAGUCUGAAGGGUCGAUAACUCACAUUUGUUUCUGAAUUUGGUUGGUUUAUCUAUCUGUGGUCCUCAAUGUAUUAAAUGACAGCCAAAGGUAUCCAUCUAUAGAGGCUUAUCUACUAACUGUUGGACCUUGGAGGCUUAUAGUGCGAUGAAAGCCAAAUUUAUCUAACUAGCCAGUCGACAGGCUAAAACAACUAGCUAUAAAAUGACAUCAAGUUCUGGUUUACAUGUUAUUCUCGUCGUUCAUGCCGACAGACCUUCUGUUGUAGUGUUUAGAGUAGAUUGAGUCUGCCAGCCCUCCUUUUUGUUUUUGUUCUUAUUUUGGACAGAUGCUUGGGGUGCAUACUUUCUAGAAUCUGCAUUUGGAUUUGCAGUCCGCAUUGUCGAAGAAAAUUGUCGAUUGUUUGAUUGAUGUUCUGACUUUUAUGUGGACCAGUCGUCCAUUCUCUAAAUCAUUCUUUUAAUCCUGCUACCCUUUUUGUAUCCAUGUACUGUUUAUCUUGUUUAAGCAUUAGUGUAUACUUUUCUUUCAGCAAUGGCAACACAAGCAGGAACCUUGGCUACUCCUCGUUUAAGUCUCCAAGUGGUAGGGUUCUCUGUUCAUGGGAGUCACCAUCUAGGCAUGCUUGAUGCUUCACCAGAAUGCUGCAUUGUUCUUUAGCUGUCGAUUGUCUGUGUAGAUUGACUGUAUCGAGUUGAGGACUUGAGGCAGGUUGUAGGUGAUUAGAACAACCACAUGUUAAGUAAGAUCAGUUGUACUGUAUGCUCUGAACAUAAGCUUGUGCUGCUGCCAGUGUAGUGUAUGCUCUGAACACAAGAUCCUUUACUUGCUCUGGUUUGGUUAAGACUGAUGAUGCCGUGGAUAAGAAAACAAUUUAAAAGGUCUGUUGAAACAAGGUGGAAGCAUGUUUUUUCUUGCAACGUACCCUAAACCCCUAAACCCUUUUUAUUUGAACUUGUUAGUUAUGUUCUGGAGUCUGGAAUUUUUGAAUCAAUAUCUAUCUGAUUAAUGCAUGCCUUGUUUUGUUUUUUAGUUUGUUGCAAAACAUAUAUCUGGUGUAUCUGAUUAGUUAUGUUGUAAAAGAAUGCUUGUCUCUGACACUGUUAUUCUUAUGUUGAUAUAUGUGCCCAGGUUUGUGUGUUUUGAAUCAAUAUCUAUCCGAUUAAUUAAUGACCAUGGUGAGCUAGAUCCAAACAAACAAGACACUUACAUUAACUUGGCACUUUGAGUCCUUGUAAUUCUGAUAGUGUGGAACUAUAUUUUGUACACAUAGUCAACUAGUUUUCGUUUUAUAUUUGCUUGCUUAUGUGGAACUAUAUUUUCUCAUUUUUCUAAUUAUGACAUGGAUGAUAUGAAAUAUCAGAAUUGUUUCUGUUACAUGGUGUGCUGCAGGAAAGCCCCUGUGUAGGUUUAUUGUCUCGUAAUUGGGCAAUUAUUUUCUUGCAGGGGGCCACCCGUUCUAGCUUGCUUUGACCCUCUUUUGCUCUGUAGUGGUCUUGGUACAUGAAAAGCAGGUCCUUUUAAAUGUUUUGCUUCCUUGGUUGCAUUCUGCUGUACACUCAAAAAUAUUUUCAAUUUAGUGACAAGCAAACAAUAAAAUAGUCAAAAGGCUUUUAUUUAAUGUGCUUUUCGAAAAUGACAAUGUGUUGUGAUGUUCUCCUCUUUCUGUUGACAUGUAUGUUGAGUAAUAUCAAGCCAUAAUUAUAGUCACUCCAAGACAUGCUCAAAUGUAGUCGCACGUACAGAUUUGUGUGGCUGAGGUACAGUUUUAAGAUGAGAUACGUAUAUAUGGAACAUGAAAGUAAUACCGUUUGUUAGGACAUGAUGACUGUUUGUUUACUACUUUAUGAUUUUGUGUAGAGUUGUGUCCUUCUUGUCCCCUUUUACCCAAGGCCAUCUUGUUGUGUCAAUGGCUGUGUUGCCGUUUCAAGUUUUGUGUAUGUGCAUAUGUACAUAGCAGUAGACUAGACUGUUGUGAUCGUAUAUUACCUUCAUCCCUUCUUAGAUUUAUCUAGAUACGGAUGUAUCUAACACUAAAACGUGUCUAUACAUCCGUAUCUAGACAAAUCUAAGACAAGAAUUUUGGGACGGAGGCAAUGUUUUCGUGUUGUUGAGUCGUUCUGGGGUAGCGACUCUUGACGAGUUGUGCCUGGCUGAUCGACUAGUCUCUACUAGUCGAGAGGUUGAGUCGACAUCUGGCAGUGCAGCUCGUCGACUAGUCGCGUGGAUGGAGGGAGUACUUGCUUUGCAGCCCGACAAGACAAUAUUGUUCCCUUCAUGAACGAGGACAUGGGCAUGUACCUCGACGAUGAGCUCAUCCACCACUACCACCUCGACUCCGCGUGCAAGGUGUUGUGUGUCCUGGAAGAUGGAAGAGGAAGAAAACUUAUUUUUGUUGAACUAAAUUUCCUGUAUUUUGUUUUGUUGUAUGUAUCAUUUGAUAGUUUUGUAUAGGAACAAGUGAUACUAUUUUGAAGGGCUUUAUGGCCGGUGAUGUAAACAUAUUUAGUGCUGAAAUAUAAAAUUA
Molecule: RNA transcript, 3347 nt
Organism: Triticum dicoccoides
Lineage: Eukaryota; Viridiplantae; Streptophyta; Magnoliopsida; Poales; Poaceae
Exons: 4
Source: RefSeq, a predicted model, not a curated record